CCUACGGGAGGCAGCAGUGAGGAAUAUUGGUCAAUGGACGAGAGUCUGAACCAGCCAAGUAGCGUGAAGGAUGAAUGCCCUAUGGAUCGUAAACUUCUUUUAUAAGGGAAUAAAGCGUGGGACGUGUGGGGUUUUGUAUGUACCAUAUGAAUAAGGAUCGGCUAACUCCGUGCCAGCAGCCGCGGUAAUACGGAGGAUCCGAGCGUUAUCCGGAUUUAUUGGGUUUAAAGGGUGCGUAGGUGGCCUGUUAAGUCAGUGGUGAAAGUUUGCGGCUCAACCGUAGAAUUGCAGUUGAAACUGGCAGUCUUGAGUACGGUAGAGGCAGGCGGAAUACGUGGUGUAGCGGUGAAAUGCUUAGAUAUCACGCAGAACCCCGAUUGCGAAGGCAGUUCACUGGACUGCAACUGACAUUGAGGCUCGAAAGUGUGGGUAUCAAACAGGAUUAGAUACCCGAGUAGUC
Molecule: ribosomal RNA, 460 nt
Filed under: uncultured bacterium
Lineage: Bacteria
Description: partial 16S ribosomal RNA
Rfam family: Bacterial small subunit ribosomal RNA
Source: RNAcentral